CAAGUGGCAUUAGUUGCCAGCUGGGGUUAAACUCUGAGAGUUCCUAAGCAAAACCACAGCCUAUUUGGAGGGCACAGGAACUACAGAAGCACUGAACCCUCUGAAGGAUUUCAGAUUUCACAAGGAACAGUAAGGUGAAACUGGGCAAACCUACAGAGGAGAAGAAAAGCAUGGCAUUUUCAUGACCUAGGUCAUGGAAGAGCAUCAGGAAGGUGCAGCAAUGAGAGCUCAUCUAAUUUAGCCAAGCACAGCGUGACUGAACAGCACAUUCCAGAACUGCACUAAAAACAUCCACCAAAGUAGCUGAAACCAGGAAAGCAAUUUUCUGUUCUUAACUUCUGUACCUAAGCAUCACCUUAGAAUAUAAAGUAUCAGUCAAUACAGGUCUUAAAAGCAGGCCCAGGGAGAUUAUUGUUGUGAUUUGUAUGAUCAGCUCAGGAACGUAGUGUUCCCCAAAAGCGACUUUAGGUAAUGUCAAGGGAAGCUGUGGUUUUCUUUGUGUCGUUCAAGAGACAAAAGAAUGUCCUGUGCCAGUGAAAAGCACAGUUUCUGUGCCACACAUUCACUGAAGUAUAACCUUGCCUUUAAUCUGUAUGUUCGAAAGCAUGCCUUCACUACCCUGCCAUAGCUUCACACUAUCUGCAGUAUAAGGACCUGGCAAAAAAGCUGGAGAAAACCAGGGGCCGAACUUAUGGCUGACUUCCCUGAGCACGUGAGCUGCUGGUUUGUACCUGUUCCCAGGAUUUCCAUCAUCCUGUCACUGAAACUUUGCUGUAUGUUUGAGAGCCAUCAUCAAUGUUUAAGAAGCAUUUGAGCUGUAUAUCCAAAUACCAGUGGCUGCUGUUGGACACCUACUAUGCACCAUUUGCACUGGAUAAAGAGUGUUUGUGUGGGGAGCUGAAGAGAUGUGCUUAACUCAGAAAUAGCUCUCUUCCUUGGAAAGCUUAAGGUCUGAAUCACACUGUGUUGGCUCAGUUUUUAGCAGACAAGCUCUCACAUAUGCCUCCCUGUAGGCGAAGAGUCGUCACUGGCAUCAGGAUUAGCAGCCAGGUUCUUUCCCUUUGAAAAGUAGAGAAUAAUGCUACUGAAAGCUAAGGCUGACUUUAAACGUGGUCAGGGCAGGAUGGGGAAAAAAUAACUUAUUUUGCUCAAGAUCCUUGAGGCAUUAACCACUCUGCUGCUGCCUGUGAAGGUGAGAAGACGACAGCCAGCCCAAACAUAUCCACGGCUGAUGUUGCCCCGAGGCAACUGCAAAAACUAGUGACAGGGACAAACAGGAACACCAGAGAAAAGCGUGGAAACCUAGGAGGGAACAAGGCUGCUGUUGAGCUGAGGUACUUGGAACUGCAAGCACACGAGAGAUGAUACCAGCUUAAGAGCCACUGGUGAACUUGGAGCCGCUGGCCGAGUCCACCUGGUAACAAGUGCAGGAACAGAACUCCAAAUACAGGCAGACACUUAUUUUUUCUGGAACAUGGCGGAAGUUGAUGCCUAGUCCUUAACUACACCACCACUGCUGAUUCCCAGCAGUCCAAAGGAAGUCUUGGGGGAAAAGCAGGUGAGGGAACUGGUGCAAAGUGUUUGUAGUUAGCACAAGAAACAAAUUAUACAUAGCGAUUUUAAAACACCUCAGAGACGCAGGAGUGUUGGGGAUCUACAGUUUUGGACCCAGUGGCUCACAACUGCAGUAACAUUAAUUUUCAAGCCUCACCUCCAGGUUCAGGACUCAAGCACUGCCACAGUUGCAAGAAAUGUGGAUUGAGAGUUCCUGAACUAACUGGUUGGUGACAGUGAGUCCAGGGAAUGACCUUGCAGCAGGCAGCUCAUGGUACCUCUCUCGGAGCUGUGCCAGUAUAAACGGCACUGGCAUUUCUGAAUGCUGCUGAAACCAUUUUGUGACAUUCUUAUGUUGGCUUUUUCUACUGCUCUGCACCAAAACUUUGGGGUGAGUGGAACAGAAGAGAGUCCUCCCUUCUUGUUCCAUUACACAGGCAUCUUCACAACGUAGCCUUGGGAUUAUCUAUAUAUGGAUAUAUAGAGAAUAUGGGCAACUCAUAGCUUUUGCCUACAUCUGUCCAUUAGCAUCAGCGAUACAGAUACUUAACCGACUGAAAUCUUGUCUUUCCCCUCCAGCCACACCCAUAUUAAACAGUAAGAAAACACUGUUUUAUUAAAAAUACGCAGCAGCAGUGAAUUUUCUGGCUACGUCUGGAAGUAAAUUGUAAGAGGAGUGAGGGUAGAACACUUGGCAUUUGGAUAUUUUAAUGAAUAUUCCCAAAUAAGACAAGCAAAACAUUUACUUGUAGACUCGAAGCUUCUCACAGCAUCAGUAAAGCUCCUGACACAGAGCCCGACGCAGUAUUUGUGUAACAUGGAAAUUAACAGCAGCAGCAGCAGCAGCGCUGCAGGCUCAGAGCCUACCCUGCGAGCAACAAAAUGGCCAGAGGUGCUGUUGUGUUCAUCCAGAUCCCUUCACCAUCUGCGGGUGGGGAGAUAGGAGGAUGCCAAUAUCCCUGCCACUUCAGGUAUGGUUGUGAACUUUACCAUCCACAUUAAAUGAAUGUUUCUAACCGUAUUCAAGCUUGUGCCUUCCUCAGCUCAACUCCAUAAAGCACAGACAGGAGCCAACAGCAAAAUCGGGCUGCGUCACAGAUGUAACAUGACCAUCGGCAAAACAAGUGCAGCAGGAGAUCAUGGCUGUCGCGUCAUUCAGAGAGCCUUCCCUCGAUAGCAGCGAAGAAGAAGAUGGUAAUGCUUUUAAAUUUAUGUCAUGAGCAUUUGCAAUCCGUAACUUCCUUUACCAAAUUUUGCAGUCCUUCAACAAUCAAAAUGCCCACGAAAAUUGCACGUAUUUUGCCAACAGCCCCAGCGCGUUAAACACUGCGUCAUUAUGCCGCACUAAGGCAGAGAGGUAGAAUAAACCCCACUUUGCAAAGGAAGGAAACCAAACUCUAGAAGAAAUGAAUCAGCUUACACAAUGUCACACACACACAAGUGUCAGAGGGAGGAAGAAAUCACAGCUUGCCCAAGUGCUUUUGCAUCAAUACGCAGAAAGCCAUUAUGGAACAGUUAGCCACGUACAACACCACCACCAUCCCCAUGCACAAAAUCGCUACUGUCCUACAGAAAUAUGCCAUGUCCGUCCCCUUCUUAGCCUUGUUUCUUGCCAGUCCCACAGAUUUACCUGCUGACAGUAACCUCAAUUCCUGAGUAAUGAGAUUUACAGCUGAAGUUUAACAUUGAAAUAACUCCUCUUUUAUCUCUGUCUCCUUACCCUCCCUGCAGUUAGACGCAAUUAAACUAGCACUGUGGCAGAAAGAUGGUAGUAAAAGAAAUCAAACCAAAUGCAUCCCAACACUGCACACAGAUACUCAAGAAGGACCACCGUUGUUGCUGCUAUUCCUGUUGUUCCCCUGCUCUGCGGAACUGGCGCUGCAGGAGGCAAGGAUGCUCCAAGGGAGCCAGCUAAAGCCAGUGAAGGCUCAGUGAGUCAGGAGGGGUUGUGACGACUGCAGUAAGAGUCUGAAAUUCCCUAUGGAAUCUGGCACAAAAAGGGAGAGGCAAGAAAGGUGGAGAUGGGAAUGAGGGGGGGAAAAAGUAGGGAGUGGCACCUACUGUCUGUUUUCUCCUUCCCUCCCUGCUCCUAGCUCCGCAUUGCUGUUGGGAAUGGCGUCCUCCCGUCUAUGGCACUGCGCAAAAGAGCGGAGCCGAGGAUAAAACCGCAGCGCCUACGGCCUUUAUGGCUUUUGUAACCAAAAUUUGGUCAGGGUGGGUGUAUGUGUGUAAAUACAGCCCUUCUCUCUCUCUCCCUCUCACUCACAGGACAGGCUACACUGAAGUAAUGGAGACGGCGGAUGCAGCAUGUUUGAGCUGGUUCUGAACCCAGCAGUUGUUGCUAAACAACCGGACCUGACACUUGAGAGGUCAGCGAGUGAGUAAUACAGAUUAAAUGCUUAUGCUACCCUAUCUUUAAACUUGUUUAAGCCUCAGUAUGAUGAAAGGCUAUGGAAAAACGUUCCCUGCCGCAUGAGAAAGCAAAGUUACCACUCCACUGCAUAAUCAGGAGGCUUCCUCGGCCAGAAGGACCAAGCUCAAAGCUGGUUGUGUCCUCAGCACUUCCAGGCAGAGUUGCCAUCUUCAUUGCUGGUCACUUUAAGAAGAGAGGUGAAAAAAUAGUAUAGUAAACGGUUAAGAGAGAAGAAUGUUCUCCCCUUCAUUUCCUUAUCCUCUCUCUGGAGCCAUUCUCUGCCCACAUCUCCCAUCCAUCCUUACCCAGUCCUUCCCGAUCCUUCAGUUCCUGCUUUCUAACCUUAUUAUUUCUUUGGCAAACCUUUACAGACCCAUCACUCAAGACUGUCUUCAGCCCUUCCUGAUGUUACCGAGCCUGUGGCAAACUCGCACUUGGGCAAACAAAAGCUGAGUUUGGGCAAGAGUCUUCUUCGCUUUGCUUUUUCCCACGACAUAAUUUCCAGGUGCAGUCCCUGCCCUGAGCAGUUUACAGUCCUGCUCACACUAAACCACCUUAAAAGGGAGAAGGAAGAAAGCAAGCACAGAGAAAAGCCCCAAACCCCAGGACUUUCCCCUUCCCCGUGGUUUGGAGCUCUGACACGUCAUCAUCGGAACUGCACAGCAAAAUGAAACCUCACCGGCACCCACGAAAGAGACACCCGUGGGAGCAAGGACCAGCACCCACUGCACCGAGGAGGUAACUGCUGCUGUCCUGCCUGCUGCCCCUGCCUGUGGGACACCCAGGAUCCCAGCAGGAGCGGGCAGGGAGCUGCCGGCACUUUGAAGCAAGUGAAAUCAACGUUGAGAUUUGACACCCAGUUCUCGACCAAUCAGAGAGAGCUUUUCACCUGCCAUCACCUCCUCCACCAAUCGGACGGCGCCUUUGGGCUGAGAGCCCUCCCCGGCCAAUGGGGAGCCAGCUCUGCCACUUAGUUAAUGAUGCAGCAGUACAGGGAAGACUAUCACAUGUGAGCUGGAAGGCUGCCAACAUGGAGACACGGAGAGAGCAAGGUAAACAACUUUCCAACGCCAAAAUGAUGACAUUUAAUCCCUAAACGCUAGCUUCCCGUCUCGACUCAUCUUUAACCCCUUUCAGCUGGUGUGGAAGCGUCUGGAAGGCACCGUCUACCUGUUCCCCAGUGCUUUUAAAAACUGGACGACAUGCCCUGCAAUGAUCACUGCGUCACCGUUUACCACUUUGCAAACUACGCAGUGACAAACCUCCGAGCUCUGAAACGCAGAGCGCCUGUUAACCCCUCCGCCAAAGCCCUGCCAACGUGCCAGCCUUUACAGAGCUGCCGGGGGGGGGAGGGUGGGGGGGUGGGGGGGGAGAGAUAAAAAACCCAAGCAAAACAUGAAAACAGCAGUCUUUGCAAAGUUGUCAUCUCUCCCCCACCACUACUACCCUCCUCUGCAGUACAGCAAUGCCGGCAAGAGUGACAUUAGUACAACCUGUGCCGUCGUUCCAUUGAGAAAACAGCUCUGACGCAGAACAGAGCAAUCAUACCCAGCCAAAAUAAUAAGAAAGGCACUCUGGGAGCUGAACUCGGGGGCGCCGGGGGAAAGGGACGCCCUGCAAAUAAUUUAAAUACGUAGAUGCAGCUCAAGCCCCAUCCUGAUCAAAGGGUACGUACGUGAGAAAGACGAACCGGACCGAAGAGCUCUGCCCGUGCACCAUCUGCGCAGUCCUCAGCCCUCCGCUCGCUGUGUAGCGCCGCAGAAUAGAAGGUUCCAGAAAUUUCCUUUCCGUUAACCCUUUUGGUGUCUGCCCACUCUCCCUCCCCAUGGGAUUAAGCGCGCCGGGUCUCCAGCAUCGUCAAUGGGCGAAGCCUCCUACGCCAAGCGAGCCCGAAUGCGAUCUUUAAAGGACACUGGAUGGUGGCAGGAGAACAGUCCCUGGUGUUAGCGUUACUUCUCUUUUUGGAGCCCUCUCUGCCUCUCUUGCUGCUUCUCUCCCCUCUUGCUGCAGCAGGGCUGUUGCUGGUAAGACCUAUCGACGGAGCUUGCUCUCUCACUCUCUCGCUGAGCUCUGUGACGCAGCUCUAAAUUCUCCAGCCUGCUCCCUGUGUUAUAAGAGCGGAACUGCAGCUUUCCAGGGAGCCCGUGCCAGCGGUGCCAGGGCCAGGCAAACCGAGGGGAGCGUCGCUCCUGGACUCUGCACCUUUUUUUGCAUCUGAAGAGCUGGAACUAUUUUGGGAUUUGUCUGUACUACACUGAAAAUGACACCUGUUAUACCCAGACACAAAUGAGAAGAAUUGCAAGCUCCUGCUUUUUCACAUAGGAUUCUACAAUCAAAAAGAUCCUGUGAGCUCAGGACCUGGGCAAGCAGCACAGGCUCCCUGUGUGGGAUGGAGGGGAUGACCCUUGUGAAUUGAACAGGUAGGCACCGGUUCAAAAGAUGGAAAAGAUCUGUUGUAGCUGAUGCAAGGGGAAAUCAGACGUCCAUGUGACCACAAGAAGUAGUGCUUGAUCAACUAAAUGCCACAGUACGAGGUUUCUUAUGCAAUCAAACCCACGGGACUUCAAGCCUUACACGUACGCUCUGUGGCCGAAGCUGCAUUAACUACUUCAGUUAACGAACGUAAAACUGUAAGAGCUCUACGGCUACUUAAAUGAGUCAUCCAGCAGCGAUACUCACUAAAGUAGGGCAGUGUUUUCUGUGAUGUUCAGCUGCCUGUGCUGGUUUCAGUUACCCCGGAGUUCUCUCAGAAGCUCCAACAUGCAGGAGCAGUGCGGAUUUCCCCCGUUCCCUGUUUUCCUCAUUGUCAUCCGGAUGAUUUACAACGUGCCAGUGCGGUGCAGGCCAGGCAGAGGCCAUCUCACUGGACCCACGAGACACCGUGAAGCUCUGAGUGUGAUUGUGUAGAGCACUGAAGCAAGAUCAAAGGCUCGGAGGCUCAGAAAUGGGACAGCUGACUGGUGCUUUUAACUCACAAUGAUUUUGUCAAUCUUAAGAAAGUAAAAUGGAGCUUUGAUUUAUUUCAUGUUAUGUCAUUUUCAUUGCUUUCAGGAGUAAGGCAGCAUUUAUUCUAUGGUGUACUUGCAUUUGCAGAUCACCAGCCAUGGAACAUUUCGACCUUUA
Molecule: long non-coding RNA, 7090 nt
Organism: Pezoporus flaviventris
Lineage: Eukaryota; Metazoa; Chordata; Aves; Psittaciformes; Psittacidae
Exons: 3
Source: RefSeq, a predicted model, not a curated record